RNAcentral lists this ribosomal RNA (467 nucleotides) under uncultured bacterium. RNAcentral describes it as "partial 16S ribosomal RNA". It matches the Rfam family "Bacterial small subunit ribosomal RNA", at positions 28 to 507 of the family's 1533-position model. The record is from RNAcentral.
GAUGAACGCUGGCGGAAUGCCUAACACAUGCAAGUCGACCGGAAUCUCGAUAUUUAAUUUUGCUUUAGGUGGGGGAGUGGUGAGCAACGGGUAAAGAACUUGGCUCAUAGCUUUUCAUGACGCUUGGAAAAGAAUACUAAAACCUAAUAUUAUAUUCAAAGUUCGUGUUAAAUUUAUGAAAGUUAUAAGCGCUGUGAUAGAGCUUCGCGUCCGACUAGCUAGUUGGUGAGGUAACUACUCACCAAGGAGACGAUGGGUAGCCGGCCUGAAAGGGUGAUCGGCCACAAGGGGCCUGGGACACGGCCAUUACGCAUACUGGGGGAAGGAGUGGAGAAUAUUGGACAAUGGACCGAGAGUCUGAUAAAGCAAUUCUGUGUGAAAGAUCAAGUUUUUCGGAAUGAAAAGUGCUUUCAUUUGGGAAGAAACAAAUGACGGUACCAAAAGAAGAAGUGACGGCUAACUACGUG